GGGGAUUAGUGGCGAACGGGUGAGUAACACGUGGGCAAUCUGCCCUGCACUCUGGGACAAGCCCUGGAAACGGGGUCUAAUACCGGAUACUCACUGCCUUGGGCAUCCUUGGUGGUGGAAAGCUCCGGCGGUGCAGGAUGAGCCCGCGGCCUAUCAGCUAGUUGGUGAGGUAAUGGCUCACCAAGGCGACGACGGGUAGCCGGCCUGAGAGGGCGACCGGCCACACUGGGACUGAGACACGGCCCAGACUCCUACGGGAGGCAGCAGUGGGGAAUAUUGCACAAUGGGCGAAAGCCUGAUGCAGCGACGCCGCGUGAGGGAUGACGGCCUUCGGGUUGUAAACCUCUUUCAGCAGGGAAGAAGCGAGAGUGACGGUACCUGCAGAAGAAGCGCCGGCUAACUACGUGCCAGCAGCCGCGGUAAUACGUAGGGCGCAAGCGUUGUCCGGAAUUAUUGGGCGUAAAGAGCUCGUAGGCGGCUUGUCACGUCGGUUGUGAAAGCCCGGGGCUUAACCCCGGGUCUGCAGUCGAUACGGGCAGGCUAGAGUUCGGUAGGGGAGAUCGGAAUUCCUGGUGUAGCGGUGAAAUGCGCAGAUAUCAGGAGGAACACCGGUGGCGAAGGCGGAUCUCUGGGCCGAUACUGACGCUNAGGAGCGAAAGCGUGGGGAGCG
RNAcentral lists this ribosomal RNA (670 nucleotides) under Streptomyces sp. 92(2010). RNAcentral describes it as "bacterial SSU rRNA". It matches the Rfam family "Bacterial small subunit ribosomal RNA", at positions 87 to 770 of the family's 1533-position model. Lineage: Bacteria; Bacillati; Actinomycetota; Actinomycetes; Kitasatosporales; Streptomycetaceae. The record is from RNAcentral.